This is a non-coding RNA of Hypomesus transpacificus, 393 nucleotides long. NCBI's taxonomy places the organism in Eukaryota, Metazoa, Chordata, Actinopteri, Osmeriformes, Osmeridae. The record is from the annotation of a RefSeq genome assembly.
AUGUAUUGUAUCUUCACAUGUAAGUACUUUGUCUUUAUAGGUAUCAUCAGUCAAGACCUCACUCCAGUGAAGAAUGAAGUGAAGAGUUUAGAGAGUGACACUGUUACAUUGUCCUACAGCUACUCCAAAACUGCUGCAGCUGGAGAUGAAUUCUACUGGUAUCGACGAGAUCAUGUAAAACCACCUAGAUUCCUUGUGUCAGUCUUAGGAUUUGAGUCCUCAAAUACAACUAGCAACCUCAACAAUCGAAUAUCUGCUAACCUGAACAGAGAGAACCGCCUGAAUCUGAUCAUCUCUUCUACUGAAGUGACAGACUCUGCUCUAUACUACUGUGCUGUGAGGCCCACAGUGACAGGAAACACAGACACACUGCACAAAAACUACAGGAACUGA